This is an RNA transcript of Nematostella vectensis (starlet sea anemone), 4655 nucleotides long. RefSeq lists it as uncharacterized. The record is from RefSeq and is a predicted model, not a curated record. NCBI's taxonomy places the organism in Eukaryota, Metazoa, Cnidaria, Anthozoa, Actiniaria, Edwardsiidae. The transcript has 9 exons.
AAAAACAAAAAAACUUGUUGUAUGUGGAACUGAUUGACGUAUUUGUGUAAUAGUUAUUUUUAGCACUCUGGCGGGAGAUUCCGGGAAUCACACUUCCGCUUUGGUGCUUGGUUCGCAUGUGUUCACGUUAAAUUAAGUUAUCUUUCUUUCAAACGCGGGGAUGGCAUUAGAUCUGAGUGCUUUCUGCAGAUUCCGAGAAGCGGGAAGUCUUUAUUCCCUCGGGAGCGGAUGGAUCAUAAAGUCAAAAGCACUUUCACAGAAAUUUGGUAACAGUACCGUGUUUUAUCUCGUGACCACAAGCGAUGUUUUAACACCGCGUCUAGUCCUUAACGCUCUAAAGAAAACCUCAGAAACCUCCGUUUAUACCAUAUUGGUUGAUAUUAGCUCAACCGAGGCUAAACAUGGAGUCAAGACCACCAAGGACUUGCGUGAAAUAAUUGAUUUUGUGCCAUCAGUUGAAGCCGGCGAAAAUUUGUUGCAGGACUAUGUGCGAGAAAUUUCAGGAUUGUUGCUUAUAAGUUUGGAAAAGUACCAGCGGCAUGGUUACUUUAGCAAGUCAUGCAUACUGUGCGAUAGGCCGGUGAAUUUCUCGAGUGCUUUAGAGGUGAAGAAUGAUUUCAGCUCCGAUGGCUCUUCGUUAUGUUGUUAUGUACUUCAAGAAGCGAAACCCGCCAAGACAUCAUCAUCUUCAGACAUCGAUAAGGCGAGUGAAGACGAAGGCUACGUUCCUUUUGCAAACAAAAGGCUAUCACUUCUGCUAGAACAAAAUAAAGAAAGUGCUGCCUUCCUGCCCUGUGUAGUUGUUGAUGGUGAUCAAACAUACACUUCUGAAAAAGAUGUACCUGUCAAUAUCAAUCUGCUUGGUGCCAUUGUAACUGACAAGAAAGGCAAACUGGUUGGAUCUCUGUGUUGUCAUCAAAAAGAGCUACAGUUUCAGCCAUCUGUCAUCAUAAAGAAAAAGUAUUUCUCUGCCUCAAUGGUGCAAGAAAAUGGUACAGCAAGCUCAACAUGUGGUGACCUAUUGGUCAGUGGAUACUCCACAUCAGCUCAACAAGAUGACAUUCAUAAUGAAUUUCCCCAAAAUCCAGCAACUAAUGAUGAAGAAGGCAUGCAACAUAGAAAUACAAAGCCAGCUCACAGCUCCAGAAAGCAAAAUGAGCAACUGCAAAUUGCAGGGCCACUUAUGACCAACAAAACAGGAAGUGAAGGUGGUGCAACAACAAGUGGUGGUGGUGUUACAGAAAGUAGAGGUGGUGCUAAAGAAAAUGGAGAUAGUGCUACAGGAAAUGGAGAUGGUGUUACAAGAAGUGGAGGUGGUGCUACAAGAAAUGGGGAUGGUUUUACAGGAAGUGGGGGUGGUGCAACUGCAAUGCGAGGGGAUGUAACAGGAAGUGAAAGAAAUGUAAGGAAAAUUGAAGGUGGUGGAACAGGAAGUGAGGAUGUAACAGGAAGUGAGGAGGAUAUAGCAGAAAGUGGAGGUUCUGUAAUAGGAAAUAAACAUGACGUUACAGGUAGUGGAGAUUUAGGAGGUGUAGGGGGUGCAACAGGAAGUAUAGGGAAUAAAGAAGGAAUUGGAGGUGUUGCUACAGGAAAUGGAGUUGGUGUUACAGGAAGUGGAGGUGUUGCAACAGAAAGUGUAGGUGGUGCUAUAGGAAAUGGAGAUGGUGCAACAGGAAGUCGAGAGGAUGUAACAAGAAGUGAGAGGGAUGUAACAAAAAUUGAAGGUGGUGGAACAGGAACUGAGGAUGUAACAGGAAGUGAAAGGGAUGUUAUAGGAAGUGAGGGGGAUAUUGCAGGUAGUGAAGAUGGUGCAACAGGAAAUGAGGAAUGUAGUACAGGAAGUGAGUCUGAGACAACAGAAAGUGGAGAUAAUACCAGGGGUGUCCCAAGAAGUGGAAGUGAAGCAAUAACUAAGAAACAUGACUCUGGGUUUGGCAGCUCAUUUGGAGCUAGGUCCCAUCUUUUACCAUCUGGUCUAAACAGCAAUGACCCGGGAGCCAGGCCAAAACGGAAAGGAAAUGAAAUGAAAGGAAAUGAUGAGACAAAGAGUACAUAUUUAUCCUUGCCAGACCUGGUAGAUACAGCCCCUCAUCAACCAGACCCACUCCUGUCUGAAAUCUACCCACAACCAAUCUUGCCCCUGGUCGAAACAGCUGGAUCUUCAAGAAGAAAGAUAAGAAGCGGAGACGACAUUCAAACCCUGUGGGCAGAAUCACCAUCACAUACUUUUGACAAAGAUCUGUCUCACUUGCUGGAUACCGAAUACCACUAUGGCAUUGAAAGUGGCCUUCAGCUAGCCAAACUCUUGGGAAUAGACGGAGAGCAGCGUGAGAAGUUCACACGAGCAUCAAUAAGCAGUCGCUCGGAGAAGCUAUUUGAGAUAUUGGCCACAAUCCAGCCAGAUCUGAAGGUCAAAGAUCUAUCAAAAGCCCUCGAAGAUAUUAAAAACAUUGCUGCAUUUAAUGUACUUGAACAUGCAAAAUCAGCUAAGCCUAAAGAUGGUGGAAGCCACAUUACAGACGAGACAGAGAUGGCGGAUCUACUAGACUCUCAUGGCAAAGUGAUCGGUCAGUUGAGUCUGGAACUUGACAAAGGUCCCCAAAACUGGAAGGAUCUCUCUUCUCAGCUUGGAGUUCCUAGAUCCUACACAAAGCAACUAUCUCGCCCAGAUGGUUAUAAAAGUCCAACCAGAGAAAUGAUAGAACAUUUCAUUCCAGUGCGUAAGCCUUCACUGACUGUUAAAUCGCUUGUUAAACUAUUUAACGAAAAGAAUGCACCGACAGCCCUCGUAGACAAGCUGAAAAAUCUAAAGCAAGAUCUACCGAUAAAGCACCUGCCAAAUAAGGAAGUGAUGGAUGAUCUGGAGGAUUAUCUGGACGCAGGAGAAUGGAGAACAGUUGCCGAAAAUCUUGGACUGUGCGACGAUGACAUCUCUUGCAUCAAGCCAAUCCCAUCCCGUGAGAUAGGAGUGACGGAGGCAAUGUUUGUUUGGCUGAGAUCAGCCAAGCCAAAAACCUUCACGGUGGCCCAGUUAGUUAUUCAGCUGGCGAAAAUGAAGCGAAGAGAUUGUCUUGAUCUCAUUGCCUCUCAGAUGGAAGGUAAAAACUUACAACCGGACAGGCCGUAGCUGAUAAAUUCUUGGCCACUCUUGAAAGAGGGAUCAAAACCUCCAUGUGCGUGCUCAAGGCUGACGGAGCCGCCAACAUGCCGAGAGCGGGAUGCAAGCUAUAAUGGUGAGGUGAAAAAUAUUCUAAAAAAGGCUGGGCUAGAAGUUGAGGGCCUGGAAUGAAAAAUGAACCAGAUUAUCAUACAACUCAUUCGUCCAUACAGUCUCUAGCUCCCACAGUAAGCCGAUCCAGAAAAAGUCAGACCCUGGAAAGGCACUCAAGACAAUGGUACAGUUGUACGCUUCUAGUGAUUGGAUCACGCAAGACAAUGGUACAGUUGUAUGCUCCUAGUGAUUGGAUCACUCAAGACAAUGAUAUAGUUGUACGCUCCUAGUGAUGGGCUCACGCAAGACAAUGAUACAGUUGUACGCUCCUAGUGAUUGGAUCACGCAAGACAAUGAUACCGUUGUACGCUCCUAGUGAUUGGAUAACUCCAUACAAUGAUACAGUUGUACGCUCCUAGUGAUGGGCUCACUCAACAUAAUGAUACGUUGUACGCUCCUUGUGAUGGGAUCACUCAAGACAAUGAUACAGCUGUACGCUCCUAGUGAUCGGAUCACUCAAGGUAAUGGUAUUGUUGUACGCUCCUAGUGAUCGGAUAACUCAAGACAAUGGUAUUGUUGUACGCUCCUAGUGAUGGGCUCACUCAAGAUAAUGGUAUUGUUGUACGCUCCUAGUGAUCGGAUCACUCAAGACAAAGGUAUUGUUAUGAUGGCUAUUUGGUUUUAUUCAUUUUGUGGUUGUGUUGAAUAAGAGCUUUUAUAAUCGUUAGGAAAAUCUCAUUCUUAGAUAAUAAUAAUACAUAUAGCAUUUUGCGUCCCACUGGAUGAUACAAUGCCAAUAUUGGUACACCAGUAGACUAGUGGGACCGUGUUUAGAUGUUACCAUUACAUAGUACGAUAAGGUUGCGCAUUGCGAAUCCGGAAUUUUUUUCCCGCAAAUAUUUUUUUGCCGAUGCGAAAGUUUCCGCGUCCACACGCAGCGUAUUCGAAUCGUUUUUAGCCGUACACACGUAUCCGGAAAUUUGUGAAAACGCAAAUUUCUUUUUUAUGAAUCUGGCUCUUAUAAUAAUACCGUCCACAUGUAUACGUGUUCGUAUCGGAUAAAAAAUUAAAAUUCCACUCUGGAGAGCGUUUUCAAAAACUUCCGGAUACGGACGGAAAUUACGCUGGAUACGUGUGGACGAGAGCCCGAUUCGUAUAAAAGAUUUCGUGUUUUCACAAAUUUCUGGAUACGUGUGGACGGGGCCUAGACUAUCCGAAGUGUACGAUUUAAUCAUAUUCUCUUGAGAAAAUAUUUUGUUUUUAAUGAUUUUUAGUGAUUGAAUGAUUGAGUGAUUUAUAUUCAUGAUAUACAUAAUGUAAGUAGAAUAGGAAUGAAAUACAGUAUCACAGUAUAAUUUGUUAGUUCAUGCAAUGAUCGUUAAAAGUUCAACUUUGUACUUCAAUUUCAUUCAUUUAUAAGGCAAAAAAAUUAUAUUCGUAUUGA